CCGAUUCCGGGGCAUCGGCAAAUUGUAUGGGAAACGGUUCAAAAAAAAAAAAAAAAUAAAACAAAAUAUGAUCAAAGGAGGCGUCAAGAUAAGUUCAAAGAAGAAAAAAACAAAGUGUCAAAAGGUUUAAAAUGUUGAGAAGAAAAAAGAUAAAUGAAAUCAAAACAGAAUCAACAUGAACAUCGGCUGAAAAACGACAAAAGUAGCAAAUGAUAUUUAUAAUAUUGUGAAAGAAGAAAAAUAAGUAAGAAAACGAACACAAAAUGAUGCAAAAAAAGUCUAAAAAUAAGUAUAAACUAAACUCAAUAGUUCAGACAGAAAGAAAACUAACAACUUGCAGUUUUUGUCCAAAAUUGAACACUUUCAAGUUCUUUUUAAGGAAAACCGUGUUCUAAUAUGUAAAAAAGUGCAACAGGAUACAGAUAAUGAGAAAACAACAACAAACUAUAACUAAAAAAGGGAACCUUUUAAAAAAGUGUUCAAAAAACAGAUUCACGAUAAUGCAAGACUGCUUUAUGAAAGUGAAAAAGUAAAAAUACAAACAAAUGACAACAAACACUUGGGAUAAGAAUCAAAGAAAA
Molecule: long non-coding RNA, 581 nt
Organism: Culex quinquefasciatus (southern house mosquito)
Lineage: Eukaryota; Metazoa; Arthropoda; Insecta; Diptera; Culicidae
Exons: 2
Source: RefSeq, a predicted model, not a curated record